Molecule: ribosomal RNA, 393 nt
Filed under: uncultured bacterium
Lineage: Bacteria
Description: partial 16S ribosomal RNA
Rfam family: Bacterial small subunit ribosomal RNA
Source: RNAcentral
AUACGGAGGAUGCGAGCGUUAUCCGGAUUUAUUGGGUUUAAAGGGAGCGUAGGUGGGAUAUUAAGUCAGCUGUGAAAGUUUGGGGCUCAACCUUAAAAUUGCAGUUGAUACUGGUUUCCUUGAGUACGGUAUAGGUGGGCGGAAUUCGUGGUGUAGCGGUGAAAUGCGUAGAUAUCACGAAGAACUCCGAUCGCGAAGGCAGCUCACCGGGCCGGAACUGACACUGAUGCUCGAAAGUGCGGGUAUCAAACAGGAUUAGAUACCCUGGUAGUCCGCACAGUAAACGAUGAAUACUCGCUGUUUGCGAUACACUGUAAGCGGCCAAGCGAAAGCGUUAAGUAUUCCACCUGGAGAGUACGCCGGCAACGGUGAAACUCAAAUGAAUUGACGGGG